This 473-nucleotide ribosomal RNA is filed under the name uncultured bacterium. RNAcentral describes it as "bacterial SSU rRNA". It matches the Rfam family "Bacterial small subunit ribosomal RNA", at positions 335 to 802 of the family's 1533-position model. The record is from RNAcentral.
ACUCCUACGGGAGGCAGCAGUGGGGAAUAUUGCACAAUGGGCGCAAGCCUGAUGCAGCCAUGCCGCGUGUGUGAAGAAGGCCUUCGGGUUGUAAAGCACUUUCAGUUGUGAGGAAGGUGGUGUCGUUAAUAGCGGCAUCAUUUGACGUUAGCAACAGAAGAAGCACCGGCUAACUCCGUGCCAGCAGCCGCGGUAAUACGGAGGGUGCGAGCGUUAAUCGGAAUUACUGGGCGUAAAGAGCUCGUAGGUGGUUUGUCGCGUUGUUCGUGAAAACCUGAGGCUUAACCUUGGGCGUGCGGGCGAUACGGGCAGACUGGAGUACUGCAGGGGAGACUGGAAUUCCUGGUGUAGCGGUGGAAUGCGCAGAUAUCAGGAGGAACACCGGUGGCGAAGGCGGGUCUCUGGGCAGUAACUGACGCUGAGGAGCGAAAGCGUGGGGAGCGAACAGGAUUAGAUACCCUGGUAGCGAGUAG